UACGAAGGGUGCGAGCGUUAAUCGGAAUUACUGGGCGUAAAGAGCACGUAGGCGGUUUGAUAAGCGGAAUGUGAAAUCCCCGGGCUUAACCUGGGUACUGCAUUCCGAACUGUCAGGCUAGAGUAUGAUAGAGGUGAGCGGAAUUUCCUGUGUAGCGGUGAAAUGCGUAGAUAUAGGAAGGAACAUCAGUUGCGAAGGCGGCUCACUGGAUCAAUACUGACGCUGAGGUGCGAAAGCGUGGGUAGCGAACAGG
This 253-nucleotide ribosomal RNA is filed under the name uncultured bacterium. RNAcentral describes it as "partial 16S ribosomal RNA". It matches the Rfam family "Bacterial small subunit ribosomal RNA", at positions 524 to 776 of the family's 1533-position model. The record is from RNAcentral.